ACGGUGAUCAGGUCCUUCUCGCAGAACCGCGAGGGGUGGAGCUCGCCGUUGGCGGCCGUGGUGAGGACCCUCUUGGCGACUUGGCUCACCGUGUUCUUCACGGCUUGCUUGAGAUUCUCCUCCAGGUGCCUCAGAUCGAUGGCUUGGCACAGGGCGACCAAGUAGGUGGUGGACAUGAGCUUCAGGAUGUCGACCGCCUCCGCCGUCUUCCUCGACGAGAUGAGUCCCAAGGAGUUUACAUCUUGGUUGUGCUGCUCGGCGCUCUGGACGUGGUUGGUCACCGGGUUGGCGAGGAACUGGAGCUCGGAGCAGUAGGCCGCCAUGGCAAUCUCGGCGCCCUUGAAGCCGUAGUCCAAGCUCGGGUUGCGCCCGCCGGAGAGGUUCGACGGCAGCCCGUUGUUGUAGAAGUCGUUGACGAGCUCCGAGAACUGCGCGAACAUGAGCUUCCCGAUGGCCGCGAGGGCCAGGCGGGCGUUGUCCAUGGACACGCCG
Molecule: long non-coding RNA, 492 nt
Filed under: Musa acuminata (dwarf banana)
Lineage: Eukaryota; Viridiplantae; Streptophyta; Magnoliopsida; Zingiberales; Musaceae
Description: long non-coding RNA (MACU_LNC006781)
Source: RNAcentral